UCACAUUCUUUACAUAUUAUUCUAUGAUAGAGUGAUGUAUACAAAAAAGAUAGAAUCUCAUUGACAAUGACCAAAUCCAUCUUUGUUGAUUCAAUAAUCACGAUUAUAGAGACUUGUAUUUACUAUCUAAACCUUUUCUACUUGGUUUUCUUCCCUUCUUUUCAUUUUAGGAAAGGAAACCCCUUUUUGAGGAAUCAUCUCUUCCUAUUAAUAAGGAAUAUCCCUAGAAAACCCUAGAAAAAUACAAUUAGAGGGAGUAUUCAGAAAAAUAUUCCAUUUGAAGAUUCCAAAGCAAAACUAGUUGUUACAUCUAUCUGCAAUGCUCGGCCUAACACAUCACUGAUCGACCUCGG
RNAcentral lists this long non-coding RNA (353 nucleotides) under Nicotiana benthamiana. RNAcentral describes it as "long non-coding RNA (NBEN_LNC022271)". Lineage: Eukaryota; Viridiplantae; Streptophyta; Magnoliopsida; Solanales; Solanaceae. The record is from RNAcentral.